GAACGAGGAAGCCGGUGUGAAUCCGGCGCGGUCCCGCCACUGUGAUCGGCGAGUGCUUCCCUACAGGCCACUGCCCGGCAACGGGUGGGAAGGCCGGGACGAGCAUCGACCCGAGAGCCAGGAGACUC
RNAcentral lists this non-coding RNA (128 nucleotides) under Streptomyces sp. Lineage: Bacteria; Bacillati; Actinomycetota; Actinomycetes; Kitasatosporales; Streptomycetaceae. The record is from RNAcentral.